This 627-nucleotide ribosomal RNA is filed under the name Copelatus sp. MB3932. RNAcentral's name for it is "SSU rRNA". It matches the Rfam family "Eukaryotic small subunit ribosomal RNA", at positions 8 to 605 of the family's 1831-position model. The record is from RNAcentral. RNAcentral also lists the same sequence under 2 other names. Lineage: Eukaryota; Metazoa; Arthropoda; Insecta; Coleoptera; Dytiscidae.
UUGAUCCUGCCAGUAGUCAUAUGCUUGUCUCAAAGAUUAAGCCAUGCAUGUCUCAGUACAAGCCGCAUUAAGGUGAAACCGCGAAAGGCUCAUUAAAUCAGUUAUGGUUCCUUAGAUCGUACCCACAUUUACUUGGAUAACUGUGGUAAUUCUAGAGCUAAUACAUGCAAACAGAGUUCCGACCGGAGACGGAAGGAAUGCUUUUAUUAGAUCAAAACCAAUCGGCGGCGGGUGCGUUCGCGCGCGCGUUCGCCGCUCAACCUGGUGACUCUGAAUAACUUUCGGCUGAUCGCACGGUCCAGCACCGGCGACGCAUCUUUCAAAUGUCUGCCUUAUCAACUGUCGAUGGUAGGUUCUGCGCCUACCAUGGUCGUAACGGGUAACGGGGAAUCAGGGUUCGAUUCCGGAGAGGGAGCCUGAGAAACGGCUACCACAUCCAAGGAAGGCAGCAGGCGCGCAAAUUACCCACUCCCGGCACGGGGAGGUAGUGACGAAAAAUAACGAUACGGGACUCAUCCGAGGCCCCGUAAUCGGAAUGAGUACACUUUAAAUCCUUUAACGAGGAUCAAUUGGAGGGCAAGUCUGGUGCCAGCAGCCGCGGUAAUUCCAGCUCCAAUAGCGUAUAUU